UUAAGGGCGCACGGUGGAUGCCUUGGCACUAGAAGCCGAUGAAGGACGUUACUAACGACGACAUGCUUUGGGGAGCUGUAAGUAAGCUUUGAUCCAGAGAUUUCCGAAUGGGGAAACCCAGCAUGAGUUAUGUCAUGUUAUCGAUAUGUGAAUACAUAGCAUAUCAGAAGGCACACCCGGAGAACUGAAACAUCUUAGUACCCGGAGGAAGAGAAAGAAAAUUCGAUUCCCUUAGUAGCGGCGAGCGAAACGGGAAGAGCCCAAACCAACAAGCUUGCUUGUUGGGGUUGUAGGACACUCUAUACGGAGUUACAAAGGACGACAUUAGACGAAUCAUCUGGAAAGAUGAAUCAAAGAAGGUAAUAAUCCUGUAGUCGAAAAUGUUGUCUCUCUUGAGUGGAUCCUGAGUACGACGGAGCACGUGAAAUUCCGUCGGAAUCUGGGAGGACCAUCUCCUAAGGCUAAAUACUCUCUAGUGACCGAUAGUGAACCAGUACCGUGAGGGAAAGGUGAAAAGCACCCCGGAAGGGGAGUGAAAUAGAACCUGAAACCGUGUGCUUACAAGUAGUCAGAGCCCGUUAAUGGGUGAUGGCGUGCCUUUUGUAGAAUGAACCGGCGAGUUACGAUUUGAUGCAAGGUUAAGCAGUAAAUGUGGAGCCGUAGCGAAAGCGAGUCUGAAUAGGGCGUUUAGUAUUUGGUCGUAGACCCGAAACCAGGUGAUCUACCCUUGGUCAGGUUGAAGUUCAGGUAACACUGAAUGGAGGACCGAACCGACUUACGUUGAAAAGUGAGCGGAUGAACUGAGGGUAGCGGAGAAAUUCCAAUCGAACCUGGAGAUAGCUGGUUCUCUCCGAAAUAGCUUUAGGGCUAGCCUCAAGUGAUGAUUAUUGGAGGUAGAGCACUGUUUGGACGAGGGGCCCCUCUCGGGUUACCGAAUUCAGACAAACUCCGAAUGCCAAUUAAUUUAACUUGGGAGUCAGAACAUGGGUGAUAAGGUCCGUGUUCGAAAGGGAAACAGCCCAGACCACCAGCUAAGGUCCCAAAAUAUAUGUUAAGUGGAAAAGGAUGUGGCGUUGCCCAGACAACUAGGAUGUUGGCUUAGAAGCAGCCAUCAUUUAAAGAGUGCGUAAUAGCUCACUAGUCGAGUGACACUGCGCCGAAAAUGUACCGGGGCUAAACAUAUUACCGAAGCUGUGGAUUGUCCUUUGGACAAUGGUAGGAGAGCGUUCUAAGGGCGUUGAAGCAUGAUCGUAAGGACAUGUGGAGCGCUUAGAAGUGAGAAUGCCGGUGUGAGUAGCGAAAGACGGGUGAGAAUCCCGUCCACCGAUUGACUAAGGUUUCCAGAGGAAGGCUCGUCCGCUCUGGGUUAGUCGGGUCCUAAGCUGAGGCCGACAGGCGUAGGCGAUGGAUAACAGGUUGAUAUUCCUGUACCACCUAUAAUCGUUUUAAUCGAUGGGGGGACGCAGUAGGAUAGGCGAAGCGUGCGAUUGGAUUGCACGUCUAAGCAGUAAGGCUGAGUAUUAGGCAAAUCCGGUACUCGUUAAGGCUGAGCUGUGAUGGGGAGAAGACAUUGUGUCUUCGAGUCGUUGAUUUCACACUGCCGAGAAAAGCCUCUAGAUAGAAAAUAGGUGCCCGUACCGCAAACCGACACAGGUAGUCAAGAUGAGAAUUCUAAGGUGAGCGAGCGAACUCUCGUUAAGGAACUCGGCAAAAUGACCCCGUAACUUCGGGAGAAGGGGUGCUCUUUAGGGUUAACGCCCAGAAGAGCCGCAGUGAAUAGGCCCAAGCGACUGUUUAUCAAAACACAGGUCUCUGCUAAACCGUAAGGUGAUGUAUAGGGGCUGACGCCUGCCCGGUGCUGGAAGGUUAAGAGGAGUGGUUAGCUUCUGCGAAGCUACGAAUCGAAGCCCCAGUAAACGGCGGCCGUAACUAUAACGGUCCUAAGGUAGCGAAAUUCCUUGUCGGGUAAGUUCCGACCCGCACGAAAGGCGUAACGAUUUGGGCACUGUCUCAACGAGAGACUCGGUGAAAUCAUAGUACCUGUGAAGAUGCAGGUUACCCGCGACAGGACGGAAAGACCCCGUGGAGCUUUACUGUAGCCUGAUAUUGAAAUUCGGCACAGCUUGUACAGGAUAGGUAGGAGCCUUUGAAACGUGAGCGCUAGCUUACGUGGAGGCGCUGGUGGGAUACUACCCUAGCUGUGUUGGCUUUCUAACCCGCACCACUUAUCGUGGUGGGAGACAGUGUCAGGCGGGCAGUUUGACUGGGGCGGUCGCCUCCUAAAAGGUAACGGAGGCGCUCAAAGGUUCCCUCAGAAUGGUUGGAAAUCAUUCAUAGAGUGUAAAGGCAUAAGGGAGCUUGACUGCGAGACCUACAAGUCGAGCAGGGUCGAAAGACGGACUUAGUGAUCCGGUGGUUCCGCAUGGAAGGGCCAUCGCUCAACGGAUAAAAGCUACCCCGGGGAUAACAGGCUUAUCUCCCCAAGAGUUCACAUCGACGGGGAGGUUUGGCACCUCGAUGUCGGCUCAUCGCAUCCUGGGGCUGUAGUCGGUCCCAAGGGUUGGGCUGUUCGCCCAUUAAAGCGGUACGCGAGCUGGGUUCAGAACGUCGUGAGACAGUUCGGUCCCUAUCCGUCGUGGGCGUAGGAAAUUUGAGAGGAGCUGUCCUUAGUACGAGAGGACCGGGAUGGACAUACCUCUGGUGUACCAGUUGUCGUGCCAACGGCAUAGCUGGGUAGCUAUGUGUGGACGGGAUAAGUGCUGAAAGCAUCUAAGCAUGAAGCCCCCUCAAGAUGAGAUUUCCCAACUUCGGUUAUAAGAUCCCUCAAAGAUGAUGAGGUUAAUAGGUUCGAGGUGGAAGCAUGGUGACAUGUGGAGCUGACGAAUACUAAUCGAUCGAAGACUUAAUC
RNAcentral lists this ribosomal RNA (2908 nucleotides) under Staphylococcus aureus. RNAcentral's name for it is "bacterial LSU rRNA". It matches the Rfam family "Bacterial large subunit ribosomal RNA". Lineage: Bacteria; Bacillati; Bacillota; Bacilli; Caryophanales; Staphylococcaceae. The record is from RNAcentral.